GACAGAGGUGCCAAGCGUUAGGCGGAAUCACUGGGCUUAAAGCGUGUGUAGGCGGAAUUGUAAGUACCUUGUGAAAUCCCACGGCUCAACCGUGGAACUGCUCGGUAUACUGCUUUUCUUGAGCCACUUAGGGGCUGUCGGAACAAACGGUGGAGCGGUGAAAUGCGUAGAUAUCAGGAGGAACACCGAUGGCGAAGGCAGAUCUCUGGGCCGUUACUGACGCUGAGGAGCGAAAGCGUGGGGAGCGAACAGG
Molecule: ribosomal RNA, 253 nt
Filed under: uncultured bacterium
Lineage: Bacteria
Description: partial 16S ribosomal RNA
Rfam family: Bacterial small subunit ribosomal RNA
Source: RNAcentral